RNAcentral lists this transfer RNA (90 nucleotides) under Gammaproteobacteria bacterium. Its description in RNAcentral is "tRNA-Ser". It matches the Rfam family "tRNA". Rfam says of the family: Transfer RNA (tRNA) molecules are approximately 80 nucleotides in length. Their secondary structure includes four short double-helical elements and three loops (D, anti-codon, and T loops). Lineage: Bacteria; Pseudomonadati; Pseudomonadota; Gammaproteobacteria. The record is from RNAcentral.
GGAGAGGUGCCGGAGCGGUCGAACGGGCUUGACUCGAAAUCAAGUGAAGGUGUAAGCCUUCCCAGGGUUCGAAUCCCUGCCUCUCCGCCA